AUUGAACGCUGGCGGCAGGCUUAACACAUGCAAGUCGAGCGGGGGAAGGUAGCUUGCUACCGGACCUAGCGGCGGACGGGUGAGUAAUGCUUAGGAAUCUGCCUAUUAGUGGGGGACAACAUCUCGAAAGGGAUGCUAAUACCGCAUACGUCCUACGGGAGAAAGCAGGGGAUCUUCGGACCUUGCGCUAAUAGAUGAGCCUAAGUCGGAUUAGCUAGUUGGUGGGGUAAAGGCCUACCAAGGCGACGAUCUGUAGCGGGUCUGAGAGGAUGAUCCGCCACACUGGGACUGAGACACGGCCCAGACUCCUACGGGAGGCAGCAGUGGGGAAUAUUGGACAAUGGGGGGAACCCUGAUCCAGCCAUGCCGCGUGUGUGAAGAAGGCCUUAUGGUUGUAAAGCACUUUAAGCGAGGAGGAGGCUACUUUAGUUAAUACCUAGAGAUAGUGGACGUUACUCGCAGAAUAAGCACCGGCUAACUCUGUGCCAGCAGCCGCGGUAAUACAGAGGGUGCGAGCGUUAAUCGGAUUUACUGGGCGUAAAGCGUGCGUAGGCGGCUUAUUAAGUCGGAUGUGAAAUCCCCGAGCUUAACUUGGGAAUUGCAUUCGAUACUGGUGAGCUAGAGUAUGGGAGAGGAUGGUAGAAUU
Molecule: ribosomal RNA, 646 nt
Filed under: Acinetobacter baumannii OIFC143
Lineage: Bacteria; Pseudomonadati; Pseudomonadota; Gammaproteobacteria; Moraxellales; Moraxellaceae
Description: bacterial SSU rRNA
Rfam family: Bacterial small subunit ribosomal RNA
Source: RNAcentral